UUUUAUUUUUUAUUUUUUCACGAUUUUUCACAAAUCGUACGAAUUCUUACGAGUGUAGUUGCACGAAUUCGUACGAAUUAGCCACCUAGUAUCACAUGCACGAAUUGCCGUGAGAUCGUGUUGGAAGGAGCGUGUUUGUACCUUGGAGAGCAAAAGAAUCCUCAUAAUUGACUGAUUUCUGAGUAACUACAGUAAGUUGCUCUCUUUGUUGUCAUUUAGUUGUAUGUAGAGGGCGGGACUCGAACUGAAAUGAACAAGGCGCGGCCAAGAACCCCCUUCCUUCACACGUGUAGACAAAGGGACCCAUCAACACAACCCAAACAUGCAGGGAAAAGUUUUCCCGUGCGCGCGACUUCACGCCAGGACCUCGCGAAACGCCCAGGCCAGCAUGCACGGGACUGUGAGUACUGGAUAGCUACUGUUCUAAACGGACGUCCUUUGAAGGAAUUAUUUCAUUAUUUUCUGCUGUGGGAUUUUACUUUCCUCCGGGAUUAUUGGACUGUCCAUAAUGAGAAUGAUUACUUUCCACUUCUAGACACAAUGGAGAAACUGAAGAUCUGAUCUGCUGCAGCGGUGACGAGAGGAACAGGAUGAUUCGCUCAAGAGGAAUCGUCUGGCAUGAGGGGCUCGGGGUGUUUUCUCAGCACUUGUUGACUGAUCAAGAGAAGCAGAAGCACUACACCCUUGUGUUUUUGUGAUCUGCUGGCAGUUUGCUCACAUCCCACGCUCUGAGUGAAGCGUUCUAGCGCUGAUCCAGGACCAGCCUCUGAAGACCCACCACAGCCAUCUGAAAGAGUGUGGAGCUGAGCUCAGAUCAGCAGCUGAUGUGAUCGCAGACGCAGAUAAUCGAGCCUCUUCCUGAGGAAGAAGCAGGGCUGACUGUGUGGCACGAAGGUCUCCUCCAGCCGGAUGUUUGCAGCGCUCAGUUGCACACCUGCAGUGGGACGCCGGUGACACGUUCAGCAUGACAGUGUUUACUGGGCCUGCUGCGGUUGAGAUCUGCUGCUGAAGUGAAACAGCAUGGGCCGCGUGUGGCUCUCUUCCAGAGGAUGCAUUUUGAAAUAUUUCAUGACAGGAGAGCACUGGUGUGUGAGAGCCUGUACAGACCAGACUCUUCAUGCCGGUCCAGGUGGACUGCUGCUGCUUAGUGCUGGUUUUGUUGGUUUACCCACACAGUCAUACUGUUCACCAGCAAAACACGACCGAUGAAGCAGCUGGACCUGCACUGACCCUGGGCUAAAGAUGGUAGAUCUCGAGCAGCGCUGGUCUGCUCAUCAGGGGAGUUUAGUUAUAGAGGGUUUGUUAGAACAUACAAGGGACGUUUCCUUCGAGGAGGCAAAAUUGGAUGAGAAACCAAUUAAUAAUAAUAAGGAACAGAACCAAAAAAAAAACAUCAACAUCAAAGCACAAUACACAUACCAAGGACUGAAAGUAAUAUACAGAGGUCGCUUACAAAGUUACAAACCAAGAGGGACUCAAAUAAAUAACACUGGAUGAGACACCAGCAGUUAAAGUUACAGCAGAAGGUGAGUUUUAACAGACCUGGUAAAGCGUGCGCUGGGUCUGAUGAGCGUCACUGAGAAUGAAUGGAGUAAAGUCAUGUGAGAGGAGGCAGUGCCUCCAUAGUGCUACGAUUGGCCUGGUACUCACUUAACCCAAUAAAUCCCGCCUGGAUCAGUCUGAAUGAACAAAUCACCGUGUCAAUGGGAAGACUUAUUAAAGUAAACAACAACUCACACACUUGAUAGCAUUACUUUGUCACAUAACAUUCAAACUUGAAAUGACCUGAAAAAAAAAUAAAAAAAAUAAUAAUAUUUGAGUGUUUUUAGUGUGCAGUCAGUUUGGUCAAGAUAAACACACAUUUCAGUGUCUGCAUUGUUUGCUGAGCUUUGAUGACUGAUGAUCCAAUUAUUAAAAAGAACAGCUGAAAAUCAGUUUCAAGUAAGAUAUGCAUGGAUUUUAUUUACCGUGUCAAGUCAUUAUUUGGGAAUUAAUAUAAAAAAUAUUAUUUAUACUUGAGUUUAAUAAAUAGAACAUAUCUAUUACAGUGUAAACAUACAAAAUACAAUAGUAUUGAUUGUUUUUUGAGUGUAAGUAAUGUUUAACCUGCAAAGUGCCUUACGAGUGUAACUGGAACACACAUUUACAUUGGAAUAAAACACAAGCAAACAAAGAAAGACAGGCCUUAUUUUAGAAGCGCACACCGCACACGCACUGGAACACACUUAUCAGUCGCCCUUCACAGUUUCGAGAAAUAUGACAUACUUUCAAAACAAACACUUUCAAACAGGAAGCAGUGGGUUCAGCCACCAAGAAUAUUUCCAGACUGUUGGUGCAUUUGUGAGAAUACGAGACAAGUUUUGGUGUUGUCUUUACUGACUGCAGGUCAUGAAAGAUUUAAGGUUCCUGGAAUCCCCUUCACUCCGACCGAUUCAUUCCUCACCGGCAAUUGUUUGCACUGAUGAGUCGAGACGUGCUGAGCGUCCUCUGAGCGUGUCGAUGGCGGUUCAGAGGCGCUGCGUUUGCGCCUCUCCCCGCGAGGUGACACUUACGCUUGACUUUUGAAGUGCUUGGCUUUCAUUGACAGCAUCACAAAGGAAAGUCAGUCCUGUAGGGUGCUUCGAAGGCUCGGGUCAUUAGGACCAAUGGCCCAGAAACAGGUGGAGGGAGAAAACUCAGUCUGAAGAGCACAAGAAGACUCCCGUGUUCAAGUCUGGUUUGUGUUCCUUGUAGUGCUUUAUCUUUAUAUUAGUCAGACAAUCCCUUAGCAUUAGUUUGGACAGAGUACUUGAAAUGACUUUGUUUAUUUGACUUAGGAUAGAAGACAUUCAUCGUUUUGGUCUCGACAUCAAAGAAUUUCGCUAAAUGUCAAAACCCAGCCUCUGAGGAUCAAUACAGUCUUGUUUCUCAUACAUAUCUUGCCUAAAAGCUCCCUGCAUGUUUGUUAGAAAUAAAACACUAGCUUUCAUUUAGCCUUAGCAGUAAAUAUAGCCCACACUGCCUUGCUGAUGCAAUUCACAGAAAGCUGCGGCGGAGCAUGCAUCCAUGCAGAAGGUGUGCGUUUGGGCUCAUCGCUCCACGCCGCAUGAGUCCACUGGGUGCCGGGUCGGAUUUGGCCUUGUGUCUUGCAGGGUCUCCAAUAGGACCAGACAUACUGGAAGUGGUCAGCGCUCACAAGCCUAAAUGCUGAUGACUCACGCGCCGCUGACUCUAUGUGCAUUACAGCGAGAUGCAUCCGAUGUCACAGUAUAUGGAUCACGUGCUAGUUUUGAACACUUUCUGAAAGAAGCAUAGUGAUAUACUUGGAAGAUUAUCCUAAUAUUUCAACACUCCAUUUGUAUCUGCUCUAGAGAAGCAGUGGCAGUUACUUCAAAUAAACAUUGCUGGUUCAAAUUCUUCUUAACCAGCAAAACCUGAUUAGAAGAUAAUUUCAUGUAUAUCUAUCUAUCUAUCUAUCUAUCUAUCUAUCUGUCUGUCUAUCUA
Cyprinus carpio (common carp) is the source of this 3483-nucleotide long non-coding RNA. RefSeq lists it as uncharacterized. The record is from RefSeq and is a predicted model, not a curated record. Lineage: Eukaryota; Metazoa; Chordata; Actinopteri; Cypriniformes; Cyprinidae.